This 19126-nucleotide long non-coding RNA is filed under the name Olea europaea (common olive). Its description in RNAcentral is "long non-coding RNA (OEUR_LNC005529)". The record is from RNAcentral. Lineage: Eukaryota; Viridiplantae; Streptophyta; Magnoliopsida; Lamiales; Oleaceae.
AUUAAUCAGAAGCAUCUUCUAGUUGUAUAACGUGUUUUCUUGUUUCCCGAUAAAAUACUUUCUAAGAUCGGAAAAUAUGGAAUUAUAUUUGUUCCUGAAAUUGUCUAUUUUUGUUUGUGGCCAUCAAGGAAUGUGCAAUUCUCUUAUUAAUUGAUUCACCGGAUUGUUAUGUGUAGACUCUAUACAUUAAGUUGGAUUUCUUGACAAAAUUACUCUAUUGAAAACGUGAAUCAUGAGCUACAAAUAUACUCUAUAUCUGGAUUAUAUGUUUGGAUUUCCUCCAUCUGAAAUCCAAUCUGUAGGAUAAGCUAAUAGAUUUUGGGGUUAUGUACUGAUAAUUGUAUGAUACAAUCAACACAAGGUGUUACAGUAAGAAUAUAUGCAGGUGAAGUUGCAAAAACAUUCUCUAGGCUGUGUUUUCCAUCUCAUUUGGGUAUUGCUUCGAGAUGUAUUGCCUUUUGGUUGAAUUCAUUGUUUUAACUUGAUACUUUCUACGAAGUUUUGCUUCAGUUUGGAUCUCUCAUGUAUAGUUGAACAAGAGAGUUUCAGACUAAGCUUUUUGGCUUAGCAUUGGGAUCACGAUAUCUCUACCAACACUUGAAAAAUUCUCAUCUAAUAUCCUGUUCAAGAACAAAAUAAAGUUUCUGAGUAAGAGGACUAGUGAUUGAUUCCCCACCUUCAUGUGGGUGGUUUGUUUGCUAUUUUCUUCCAGUUUGACACGAGCAAUAAUCUGCUGCUCUUAUAUAUUGAAGUUAAUUUCCUUUUGCAGUGUUGCUAGAAUAGAUGUUUACUUUUGAAUGGAAAAGUAAAGUAAAUUGGACUUGUCUUUUACAUCACCGAAACUACUACCGCUUCGAUUUGAUCUCUACAGGACUACAACCCAUAUAAAGGUAUCUCCAAGGUGGUUAUAUUUGACAAAUUUCAGAAGAAAACCAACAAUGAGGCUUUUAACCCACAAUAUGUUAUCAUCAAACAUCAAAGGUGUGACAAAUGGCUUCCCUCUGCUGAUUGAGGUUGAGAAAGUAGUGGAGAAGCAGGUAGAUUUCAAUGAAGACUUCCUCAGGAACAUGUUUCCUAAGAUUGAAUGGAAGGCCUUGGUUGAGGCAUCCAGAACAAUGGGCUACACUGAGCUACCCGAGAAUGCUGAAUCCUCCAUGCUCGACUCCGAUGAGUUCCUGGGCAAGUUCCAUCACGCCCUCGUUGAGCUUCAUCUUGAGGAGGGCGCGUUAGUUUGUCCUGAGACUGGUCGUAAAUUUCCUGUUAACAAGGGGAUUCCAAAUAUGUUGCUUCAUGAAGAUGAGGUUUGAAUUUCUCUUCUUCGUGGAAGCUAUGUCUUAGAGUUGAUGUUUAGGGGUCUGCCCCACCAGGGGACGAGUGAAGGAAUUUGGUUCUAUUGAGAAAAGACUAUUGCAUUUUAUUGUACUGUUUUUUUACCCUAAAUCAAACCAUGAGUAUUUACUCCGAAAGUAAAGAGAGAACACACAAUUUAAGAUAGAAUAAUGCUAUUUGUAGUCGAUAAUUAUAGUAAUCGCCCUACAUGGUGACAUUUUAUGUGGCAACUUGUUAUUUGAUACAUUAAUUUUCUAUAAUUUUUGUUGUCUCAAAUAAUAAACUAAUGCCUCAAUAACAUGUAGAUAAUUACUACAAUUGUUGACUAUAAAUAGUAUUACUGUUCAAGAUAAAUAAAAUUUAAAGAGCAAGAGAAACACCUGAUCUUGUCAUAUUCUUCACAAUGAUGCUAUGUGUGUAAUAGUUAGUUGGCUCAUGAUCUCUCUCUUAUUUACUCUCGUUGGAGUUCAUGAAUGUUCGGCCAUAAACCAUGUGACAAAUCUAAAUUUACCCUUGCAAUAUUGUUUGUAUAAAACAUUGAAGAAUCCAAUGUCAUCAAAUGUUCAUCUGUGUUCUGUAGAACUCGUGAGUUAAACAUCUGUAAUGAUUUUCCCAAAAUUAUAGCAAUACAAAGUAUGAAUGAGCUAUUGUCAUUUGGCCACCACUUAAAAAGCAAAUAAAAAAUCACGGUUUUAUGUGUCUAUAAUAAAAAAAUAAAUUAAAAAGAAAAAAAAUCUGUUUGCUAUCUUCUCAAAAUCAACCUCCCACAAGAGAGAAUUAGGUAUAUGCCCCUACUCUUUUCUUUUGCUCUAUGUAAAGCUUGUCCAAGUAUGUGGGAACAAAAUGGUGAAGCAUUUCUACCAUAGCCAAAUGCACAAGUUCUUCGGCUUCUUGCAAUAUCGACUUGGAGAUUAUUCCACCUCAUUACUUGGGGGAAAUUAACGACUAAAUUCCUGGGUCCCCUUCGAACCUCAAAACAAUGCAAUAGUAUUAUGUCUUCUUACGUGGGGUCGUUUCAUAUGGGGGAAGAGGCACGCCGAAAACCCAAUCAAGAACAUUCAAGUAUUUUGAUCGAAAGACAUCCCUCUCUAUAGCAUAACAGUGCAUAAUAAUUGCAGUUGAAAUGCUAAAGACGACAACAUCAGCUCUCUUCAAGUUUUUCGACUGAGGUAAGUAUCCUACAUCAGCCAUGCAUGUGAAGAAGCUUUCAAUAGCUCGAGCAAGGCAGUAUAAUGAUAUCUCUAUCCUUCUACUCUUCUUCUCAAUGGCCAGGGCUAGGCCAGUUGGAAACUGUUCAAGAGCACAGUUGCACGUGUAAAAAAAAAAACGUGUGUGUGCAUGCAAAAACUCACAGAGACGUGUUUGUGCAGAAUCUAUUUGAUAGUUAUUAAUGAAAAAUAAAAAGAGCUACUCCUUUUACCGUUCCCAUUGCCACCAUAGGAAUGUUGCAUUUCUUGAAAAUCCUAAACAGGAAGCAUGUCCAUAUCCUAAGGAAAAAUAAAUAAAAAUAAAUCAACAAUCUCGUGCAAAAACAGUAAUAGUAAUCACAAGUACAAUGGUAGUAAUGUGGUUCCUAUAGCCUAAUUUCCCAAAUGAAAAUAAAAAGAUUUUUUGUUUUAUUACUAUUAGAUAUUAGUUUUACCAAUAACCACUCUCUCUCUUCUUUUGAAUCAUAAAAUCUAUUUUUAUGUGUUCUUUUACAUGGGAAUCAUGAUGACAUACCAUGAGAUGUAUGGAAGCCAAUUUAACAUUCAUUCAUAUGUAUGUACAUAGGAAUACCCAGGUGAAAGUGCAAGUAACCUUUAAAAAUAGUUCCAAACUAGCAUAGGUUUUUCGAGUUCCCAAGCUUGGAUUUAGCUUAAGAGUAUGGGCUAAUACGCUCCAUGGUAGAAGAGAAAUAAUGAUCAGAACAUUCUCCAAUCUUAGUCCAAUGGUACAUGUUGCACAAUCUGUAUAAUCAGUUGCUUACCAUGCAGAUGAACAAUACAUCGAGAGAAACAAGCUCGAUCUUGCAGUACCAAAAAGACCUUUCCAUAAGAUUGUGUGAGGCCUGAAUAGGGUUGAAAAGAGAUAUAAAAGACAGUAUUGCAGAAACAACAGUAUCAAGAACAGUUAGAUGAGUGCCUAUGCAAUUAAAAAUGGUUUUAUAAGAUUGCGAGGGUAUAAAUUUAAGAAGUGACUUGUAACAAGACAUGAAACUGUGUUAACAAUUUCCAAGUCAAUAUACUAACAAACCAAGAACAUGUGUUAACAAUUACCAAGUCAAUUUACGAAGUAGAUUAGCGUGCAUCAGCAAAAUAAUCCACUUACCCCAGAAAAGGAAACUUCAGAAUAAAUGAAGCAGAAAUAGAUUAUAGUGGGAUUAGAGAAAAAGGGUCAAUUGCUUUUGUAAACAACUAAAACUUGAAGUAAUCAACUGAAAGGGUAAGGUUUCAUUUAUAUAGAUCUGCAAUUGAUCAUAUCCUCACAUGACUAGGAAUUGCUUGGCAUUUGCACCAUACAUAUGAAUUUUAUAAGACAGUAAUUUAGUUUCACACAACAGGAUUUUAACAUAAUUCUAGUUAUCUGUUUGAGCAUAAUGGUAAUGGGCAAGACAAUGAAUUAGCACAUCAAUAUUCCAACUUUAUCCAUUGUUUGGGUCUUGUGUCAGAUUCAUUCAUCAUGAAAUUCUAUUUUAGCUAUCUUCAAGAAAUUAAAAGAACUUUAGCCAUGCACCGUUAACCCGAGGUUGAAGAUGUAAAAAUUUACACCAGUUAAUGUGUAUCUGAAAUUGUUGAAUCAAGGUCAAGUACAAUACACCACGAAGAAGAGUCGAAAGUAAAAUGAGUGAGGAACCAUAUUUACAAGGACAAUCAACUCAUCAUCAAAGAUACAAGAUAUAAGCAUCAUUUUCAUUUCCUCAUCUACACUCUUUAAGAAACCUAGAAGCUUAAAGUGUCUUUUUUUGGUGCGCCACUUCCUGCAAGAAUAUCCAUUUUCCUCUGCAAAUAACUAUUAUUUUAUUUUAACUUCUUGUUUCACACAAGGUACUUUUUAGAAGAGCAAUUGGGUUAUAUACAUGAUUGUCUAAAAGAUAUAUGUAAUAUUGAAAAGGCAAAGAAUUUUGAAACUAACAAGUCAAACCAUUACAUCCCUCGGCUCCUUUAUAACACUCAAUUUAUCAACUUCACUAAGUACACAAUCGGCUACAAAUGUUAUGGAUACUUUGAAGCUAGUGAGACUUGUAUAACAUUAAUGAUACCACCAGGACAAUCGUUUCUUUGGCAGUCUACAAUUUUAGUCAACAUUCUUAAUUUUGGAAAUUCUAGAAAGCUAAGGACAUUAAUGAAUUGGGAGGUGGUGCAACCUUAUAUGGACUCGUUCUAAGUAAUCAGAGUACCCACUAAAGCAUCAUAUUCUGAGAGUUAAGUAAAACCUGAGGAUUGUAAGUCACUACCAAAGAGCCUCUACAGUUUACCUAGUUGAUUAUAACUGGAAAAAUGAAAGAAUGUAGAAUUUCAUAUGCUUCAAACCUACAAUGAAUAGCCAUUCAGAAUAAACGUUUACCCCUUGUGGACUGUAUCUUCACAACUUAUUAGGUAUAAGUUACUACCACAUAUCCAGAAGUAACAGAAAAGAAGAAAACAUUCGAUGUAUCAGAAGAUGACAACAAUAUAAAUUACCUUUUCAGGAGACCUUGGCGAUGUACUAUCAGUGCAGGAAUUAGAUAGACAGGAAGAUAAACUGGUAACGCUCUUUUAUAUGCUUGAAGAAGAAACAAAAGAAAAUGUGUCCCACAUGAUUGAUUCCCAUGUAUAAUCUGCAAAAAUAUAGAAAGCACUAAAUAUGAUGCUUGACUAUCAGCAACCUUUGGAAGCUGCUAUUCAGCACGGAAACAUGCAAAAACGAAUCAAUCUCGAUUGGAUUACAAUCUCACAUGCAGAAACAAAAAGACAGGAUUAUGACUCAAUUUAUCCUAUGAUUAUACACUUUUUUUGGAAAUCCACAUUUUUAUAAAAAGAAAAACACGCUAUUCUUUUAUUCCUUUUCCUGAAUCUGCAUUUAAUUAUUUUCCAUUCUACCAUACAUUUCUAAUCACCAAGCUGCAAAUUCCUUUUCUCUCUCAAAUACCAUACAUAAUCUAAUCAAAUAUCGCCGGUAUUCAAAGCUAAAAUAUCUCCUCAGAAUAUGCAAGAUAUAAAGCAAAAUUCUUGAAACUUUAAUCCAAUUUAUAAUAAAUCCAAGCAAUCAGAUACCAAGCUCUCACAAUCAAUCACCGACUUUAAAUUUGAAUUUUGGUGUGUGGGACUUGUUCUGUAGGGCGCAACUAAAAAUCUUUAAUAAGAGGGAUUAGGAUGGUGAUAUGAGGGACAUGGAAACUGGACCCUCGACAUUGUGUCACUUCUAGUAAUUGAUACAAGUAUAAUGCAUACAUUGCAAAAGCAAUGCCUUUUAACUUUUUGGAGCAAGGCUUGUGUUUUGGAACAUCCAAAAGGAAGUAUCAUUGGGAUGGAGGGAGCAAUAUUGAGAAAUUUGCAGACAAUGUGCAUAGUCAUCAUAAAGAACCAACUUUCAAGUGUCAAAAAUUAUUCAAAAUCUGGCCAGAAAACUGUUAAUCCAACAACACAAUGUAAGAUUUACUUGAGCAAAUGGGAAGAGAAUCAGAUUAUGUUCAGGCCAAUUGACUAUUGUCCAUAACACCUCCAAAUUUUUACUCAUCUGAAACACUAAGUUCUGCAAAUUAAUAAGAAACUAAUAAUCAUAGAUUAUAAAGAAAUUGAUCAGAUGUCAAUACAAAAAUUUUAUAUUUUAUUUAAGAAAAAUAUUAUUUGGUGCUCUACAUACCGAGCAAGGGAUUUUCAUUUCUGGAUCUAGCUUAACAUCAACACCAAUGGACUUGUAAUAUUUCUCUAUUGCCCCCAAAUUUUUGAAAGGCAUGCCACAUGCAAUCUCUCGCACACCUUGCAGGAUGACAGAAUCCUUUGCUCCAUGUUUAUUAAGAAAUGACUUAUAAGAUGGAGGCAGACUACCUUGCUUCAAUAUGUAAGCAGACCUGAAAAACACAAUAUUUUUCUCUGAAAGAUACUUCAGUAAGAAAUCAGACUAUCUUUAUGGGAGGAUAUAUACAUGAAAAAAACCCGUAAUGGGUCUCCUAAAAAUAUCAAGUGCAGAAUUUUGAGCUGGUUACACUCUUGUUUAGACAUUUAUUAGAAGUAACCAAAAAAAAUGCUUUUGAGACGUAAGUCAUAAGCGGAGAUGAAAAGUCAAUAUAUUGCACCCUUCCGAUAGUUCACAGCAGUGAUCAAGCAGGCCUUCUGGUCUACUAGUUGCUAAUUAAACAUCCAUUUCCAGCACAUUGAUUAUAUCCCCCCACCACCUUGCAAUUGUUAUCAUACCAAGCUUUUGCAGCAAACUGUAGGCUUGAUUUACUUGUGCGUGUCAAUUUAUUGUUAUUGGAAUACACACUACGACUUAAUGUACAAAAUAUUUCGCCCUUCACUUCAAAAUUUUAAGUUAGAAACGGUUAUAUAUUAUAUAACACCGCAGCCUUAUUACACUUGAGAACUACUUUAUCUGAAAAACUGGGUGUAAGUCUUUCCACAGAUACAAAUCUAAUCACCACAGGAGAUGAACAUGAUAGACUCCUAUCAACGUGGAAGGACCUAGAAGAAUUGAGAAGCUUAUUCAGUUAAAAUAGAUUCAGGUAGGGGUAGGGGUAUUUUUGGGAAUAAUGAUGUGAUAAGUUGCCUAUAAAUGUAAUUGGGAAGGAUUGGGGAUAUUCAUGCUGAGAAUUAGUUGUUGAGCUAGGGGGAAAGAUCUAAGCCUCUCGAAAGCUUAGAAUUGUUCUUCAAUUUCUGUAAUCGUCUGUCUUUUUAAUCAAAAAGUCACCCAUUCAAUAUUUGAACUUGUUCUUUCAAGCAGUAUCCUAUCAAUUGAUAUCAGAGCAACGAUCUUAGGGCAAUGACAAUAAAUUUCAGCAAGGAAAUGGAAGAGAGUUGGGGCUCGAAAUUGAAUCGAUUGGAAAAGAUGACAAGGCAACUAGAAGAGAGAGACCAAGAAGAGGAGUUAGGUUUGGAUUCACAAGGGCGACUCAUAAUCUCCAUAUUCUACUGUGAUAAUGCCGAGUGGUGGAUCUCUAGGGCGGAGGAUAUUUUCUCCAGAAACCAAUUAAUGGAGGCAGAGAAAAUAUAAGUGGCAACAUCCUGUUUCGACUGGGAAUCAUGGAAAUGGUUUCAGGAGGUAGAUCAACAACGAUCGGUGCGAACAUGGGAUGAAUUGAAGGGACUGAUGUUGGCUCGAUUUAGCAUGAAUGAGCUUUCAAGUGAUGAAGAAUUGCCAGCAGGAAAGCACGGGAGUAUGGUACACGAGGAGAUAACGAUUGCUGAACGUGGACAAUUGGAUGAGGUUACAUCGCCAUUGCUGGAGGAGGAGAAGAGGGUAGAGGUGAGACGGGUCACUGUGAAUUGGCCGAGCUAGGAGAAGAAAUCCAUGGUUGAGUCGGAAAGGGAGGGAAAAGAAAAAGAGAUCGCAGAGAACUUACCAGAGCCGACGAUUUUUGAAGACAGAUGAAUUCCGACCAUCCCAGGAGGACGAAUUUUUUGGCAAGUACCGAUGGGAUUUGGAAAUUCUAAUGGAGAAAAGCGAGAUGAUGGUGCCGGAGCGGGAAGGACAGGGACGGGAAUGGAAGGAGAAAGGAUAGGAAGCAAACUCAUCUGAAGACGCGUUAUAUUCUAGAACUCCAACCAAUUCUAGGGAAAUCGAAGCUAAGAUUGCAGGAAUCACAGGGGUUACUAGAAGUUGUUCAAAAAUCUAGUCACCCCCUUUUCGACGUCGCCAGAGGAGUUUCAACGAAGCAAUUUUGUUAAUGGGUUUAAACCCAUUCCACAGGCUGAUGAUAGAAGGCUGCAACCUCAUGAUUUGGGUUGUAUUAUGGAUUUGGCCCAAGGGGGAAGAAGUAUAGAUGAAUUAAUGAAGCAUGCUCAAGCAAAUAAACUUACAGACCAAGCAAAUUACAGCCCAACUAUGGAUAAAAUUAAGGCAUACAGUUCAAUCCACACAUCCAACCCAUAUCUCCAGAAUCCUCCUCAAACCCACCUAAUCUUUCAAAAGGCAGCAACGAUCUAUGUAAUCUGUCCGAUGACGGUGACCCAAGGUACAACACCCUUCAAAAAGCUGACAAAGGUAGAGUCACAGAUGCAAAAGGAUAAGAGGGUGUGUAAUUGUUAUAAGGAGGACAAUCUGGGUCACAUAUGCCGGAAUGAAAAGCUACAGGUAUUAUUGGUUCAGGAAGGUGACAGGGAUGAUCAAUUAGAUGGGUCACAAGAGGAAGAAGAGCACAAACUAGGGGAGCUGGUCGAGAUAUCACUCAACUCUGUUGCGGGUCUCACCUAACCAAAAACCAUGAAAAUUAGGGGCUCGAUUUUGGAGCAAUCGGUAAUAGUUUUGAUAGAUUGCGAAGCUAUACAUCACUUCAAUUUAACAGGGUGGUUGAUCAAUUAGGGCCGCAUACCACAGAAACUACGGGCUAUGAGGUUUCUAUGAGGUUUCUAUUACGUGGGUUCCAUUUUUUAAAAGCCCGCAAAGGGAUGCCACUGGUUAUGGAAUUUGUAUGAAUAACAUUUUAAUGGUAGGUGGACGACUAGCUACACGAGCUAACAAGUACAACAAGCUAACUCCAAAAACGGAUUGGUUAUAUGGAAUUUCGAAUUUUGAAGUUAAACCACACUCCCACCUUGAGAACAAGGUGGAUUUCGAGGGGCGAGUAAUGAUAGACUCCUAUCAACGUGGAAGGACCUAGAAGAAUUGAGAAGCUUAUUCAGUUAAAAUAGAUUCAGGUAUGGGCAGGGGUAUUUUGGAAAAUAAUGAUGUGAUAAGUUGCCUAUAAAUGUAAUGGGGAGGGAUUGGGGAUAUUCAUGCUAAGAAUUAGUUGUUGAGCUAGGGGGAGAGAUCCAAGCCUCUUGAAUGCUUAGAAUUGUUCUUCAAUUUUUGUAAUUGUCCGUCUUUUUAAUCAAAAAGUCACUCAUUCAAUAUUUGAACUUGUUCUUUCAAGCGGUAUCCUGUCAGAACACAUGGGCAAUUUCGUCUUUGAUAUCUCUAUGUUUCUACUGCAUAUUCAUCAUUUCAAUCUUCACGAGCAUGUCAUCAGAAAAUAAAUGGAAGAGCUUCCUGAGCAGGUGUGCAAAUUUUACAUACCAACCCCCCUUUUUCAAAUGUUUCAAGAAAUAAUCUUGGCACGGUGCAUGAAGAAGUAAGAAAUGAAUUUUGGGGAGUGAAACCGUAAUUUAUGUCAUUUGCAUAAUUUUGGAAAUACAAUUUAUUCUAGUCUUGGACAUCAGUUUCCAUAAGGAUGUUUUAUAUUAUGAGGGUGUUUGGUGGGGAUUAAAAUUAGAUCUUUUAGUAGAUUGUGAUAAAAAAUUUUGGAAUGUGUGGUUGAAAAGUUGUGAGACCCAUGAAAGAUGUGGUUUAGCUUUUUUGCAUGACUGUAUAAGGAACACAGGAUAAAUUUCUGUCAGUCACAAGUCAGUUUUGAUGUUUCUUAUAUUUUAUGAAGUAUAAGUUCAAGGACUUUAUACUCCAAAAAAGAGCAUUUUUCAUUGACAAACAACCUCAAUCAACUCCAUCAGAUAAGCAACUUAAUCGUGUUUCGCCUGAGACAAAGUUAUGAUAUAGGUCUAACUGUUUUAUCCUGUAGACCUCAAGUACUUAUCUGGAAAGAGGUAACCACAACUAUACCAUGCCAAGAUACAGUUCCGGUUCCACAGUGAUAAAGAAAAGAAAAGAAACUUCUCGAAGAUUGAAAUAAAACAUUAAAACUUUAAGCAGAGAAAUAAGUCACUUACAAAAUCUGCGAAGAGGAGAGACACAUAAGGAAAAUAUCUCCAUGUGCCCACGUAAGAGGCUUACAAAUUCUCCCAAAUUUCUCGCUUUUUAUCCCCCAUCGUGAUGCCAAUACAGUGGCACGCAUGAGAAUGUAAAUCGCUAAGCUUGUGUGCUGGGUAUUCAAGCCAGUAAGCAGCAUAGAUGGUCCUGCUAUGGCCCCGGCCAGCAAAGACCUCCAUUUGGCAGUUCUAAAAUUUAAGGAAACUUCAGCCACCACGCCAAUUUAUGAAAUGAAUAUACAAAUUUAACACAAGUAACAAAAGAAAAAUCUAACAAAAAUGAGCAAAUCUGCCCAAAUGCUGAUUCACAAAAUAAAAAAAAAAAAAAAAUAGAGCAAACAUAAAAAGGGAAAAGAGAAAACCAAUGAGGGGUAAAGAUCAUGCCUACGGUGACCUCCCAAAGCAGCUAUAAUUUCAUCCACAGAUACAAAUGUCCCUGCAAAUGCACCAAGGAAUAGUCCGUAUCUCAAGGUCUCCUUCAAUGCCAAAAUCACAUCUUCACUAGUUGAUGCCAUUUCCAAUUUCCUAAGCAAAAAGAAAAAGAAAAUUGACAUAAAUUAUUAGUAGUAAAUAAAUUAACCAUAGGUAAAAUUGCCAAAUAUUGUGAUAUAUAUGAGAGCACUAAGAGAAUGUUUGGGAAGUGUUCAUAACUGGUUUGCAUUAUAAAUAGACAAAAAUGAAUGGUGAAGAAGCAGGUAGUGCUCGUGGGUAAGUGGCUUGAAUGUUUUUUAAAUGUUUAUAAACACGAUCCAAACGAGGCUAAUAAAAAGUCCAGAUGCACAAUAGCGCAGUAACAUAGCUGCUUCCAUUUGUAAAAACUUAAUCCAGUAGCAAUAUCCCGUAUAUCAAAAAAUAAAAAAAUCCCCUUCUGUCAUAUUUACAGCAUCAAAUGGGGUUUUGGUAAUUGAUGUUGUAAAAUUUUCAUAAUCCUGAUUCCAAAUCAACGACUUCAAGCUUAUGGCGCCAAAUGCAGCCUUACUGUUCCCCGAAAGCAAAGCUAAUUAGUAAAUUGUAUAAAAUAUAGCUUCGGAAACAAGAAUUGAACCUUUAGUUUAAAAUUAAUUGCAGGAAAACGAAAGCAAGUACACGCAAGCAAUAUGUGUGCAUAGACAUGCCCCAACGUGAAUUGAUUUAGAUCCGAAACAAUACAAAAUAAAGAAAUGUAAACCGGAUUCAUAAACACGUACUUGGAGGAGGGAAGAGAUCGUCUGCGGCGGAGGCGAGAGAGGAAAGAGAAGAGCGCGAGACCACCUUUGAGGCCUGCGCCGAUGGAGAAGCCUUUGACGGACGCUGUAUACACUCUCCACAGCUUAUCAUAAUCCUGAACAGGAUAUGACUCAAAGCUCAGCAAAGAGCACGAAGACGACGAAGACGGCAAGCUCGAAUUCAACGAUCGACGCCGGCAUUGCGAGCAGUUCGACUGGUGGUCCUCCUUUUUCAAGCAGCACGUACACGGGCGCUCAUCCACCCGGGCUACUGAUCCUCCGUCAUCCUCCGUCAUCUUCGGUGGUGGCUGUGGUGGCGGCGGCACAGCCAAAAACUAAUUUAGCUACCCUUGGGAUUAUCGAAACGUGAGUGGCGGAGUUCCACGUAUAAUUCAGCAGUUGAUUGAUGACCGUUUUUUAUUUGUUUUAUCCAAAUUUUUUCAUUUAUUACCCUCUUUUCAUUAAAAAGAAUCCCUUACGCCGAUGUAAUUUUCAUUAAAAAGAAUCCCUUACGCCGAUGUAAUUUUAAUAAGUAAUAAUUAAUUAAUAGCUAUUAUUAAGCUACAUAUUUCUCGAUAAUCUAUUUCGCACAUUAUUCGAAUCAUAUAUGAAUUAAUAAUGGCAUUUAGUAUCAAUGAUGCUAAAGUAUCAUGUGUCAUUACAUGAUAGAUUUAAUUAAAUGUGAAAUUAUAUGAUUUAUUUAAUUGUACAUUUCAUUUAAUGAUACUUAUAUAAAGAGAAAUCAAUAAAUAUUUCUUGAAAAAUGCAAAAUGAAUCAAUAUAUAGAGCAUUGUUAAAGUGUAUAAAAUAUUUAAUUUUCUAAACUUGAUUUUUUCUCUAUUAUUAUAAAUAUCUCCUUUAUAAAUAAAUUUUUUUGGAAAUACUCUGAUACCAUUUUAGAUGGCCAAACGUAUGACACUGAAUCAAAUGUUCAAUUAGAUGUAAAGAUUUAGGACUUAUCUAAUCGAACAUAAUAUAUGAUAUUAUGUAAAAUGGUCUUACACGUUGCUAAGAUGAAUAAGCAUUAUUCUAAACAAUUUUGUUUUUCUCUCUUAAGAGAAGAAUGCUUCAGCAGAAUGACAGUAUAUCCAUACGUUGUAGGAAUGUCUCAGUGAAUGGUGUUCAUGUACUCGCAGUAACUUAUCAAAUUAUGCUUGGAAAAUGGUCCUCUUUCCAGACAAAUGAGAAAUUGUAAUUUCCGUUCUUAAAAAUUUUAUUACAUGUAAUAGCGUUAGAGCAUUCAACUUUGCUAUAUGUACAGAAAAUGGGCUAUCAGAAUUGAUACAGAUACACUUGGCAACAAUCUCUCAAUUAAAGAGAAAGAGAGAGGAGAAAAAAACAAAAAGAGGCACCAGAUGCUGAUAUGCUGACGUUGCCAGCAUCUGGUGCAAUUCUAGCAACAAUUUCUUUGUACAAGAGGAAUUGCUGUAGAGCAUUAAUGCAAUAAGAAAAGUAAAUCAAGAUUUCAUUUUUAUGAUAGAAAAUGAUCCAAGAUUCGAAAAUUUAACAAAAAAAAAAAAAAAAAAAAAAAAAAGGAAAAUUUGUACAACAAAUACAGCUGAAGGAUGCUGAUUCUGUAGAGCAUAUCAACUGCCACUUGUGAAUGAAUCUAAUUCCUCUGCUGCUUCUGGGGAAUUUCCGCUACUUGACUGUGAAUGUAACACCACAUACUUGUUUUUGGUGAUUAUCAUGUCUAUCUAUAUUAAUUUUAUUUAUGUUACAGUUACUGGUUCAUUAAUAUAAUUAUUUUGAUCACGAUUAAUUAUUAUUAUUAUUGUUUUUUUGGCAGUGGAAUGUGCCUUGAACGCCAUUGACGAUCGACGUGCCUAUUGGUUUAAAUUUAAUAUGUUAGUAGUUCUAGCAAGCCUUUAUUAAAUUACACAAUAUGUUUAUAUUAUUUUGUGCUUUUAACUUGUCUUAUUUUUGAAGUUACUUAAACUUAUCCUUGAAAAUACUAGAAAUUCUAUAGUAGGAAAAUAAAUUUAGUCUAAUUUGAUUAACAACUAACCAUAAGAUGAGGAUUUUGACAAUUAAUAUAAUUAUACUUAUAUAGAUACAUAGGAUAACUGUCAAAAACAGAAGAAAAACCUUAUAAAAGAAAAGAAAGAGGGUCACAAUUACAUUCAUCAAUCAUCAGCGCAUCGUAUUCGUAGUCAUUUUCUCUUUUUCUGGAAUUUGACUCUUAUUACUACUUUGCCACCAUCUUUUGGGAAUUGAAUGCAAGUUUAAUUUGGAUUCCAUUCUCUGGCAUAUUAUUCCACAGCCACAUGUUCCUGUACCUAUAUAUAAGUAUAUGUUAGUGUGAAAAUAAAUAUUUGUAUAUUUUAAUGAUGUUAUUCUUCUUCCAUUUAAAUUCCAAUUUUCGUAUAUUGAAUUUAAGAACUGUACAUCUUCACUUAGUUGUUCUUAAAGAGAUUAAAUUCUACAAAUUGUCAUUUCAUUUCCUGAUUGUAUUUGUUCAUUCUUUUGAUUUUCUAUUUAGUUGUAACAGGAAGGUGGUAAUUAAUACAAUAAUGUUCAAUGAUAACGUCAAUGCUAAUCGCUUUGCAGUACUACCGGUAGGACUCGAUCGAGUUUCAAAUAAUAAUUACCCAUUGCAUUUUAAUUGGCUCGGCGAUACUGGGUACAAGAUGUCAAUGUUAAGUUUAUAAAGUAAUGAAAGAAAAUAUAUAUACAUAUUGAGAAAUGCUUUUUGAUUUUGAGAUGAUUCUUAAGCAUAUCAUGAACAUGCAAAAUAUGCAUGAGAUUUGCUUACUGAGCGUUAGUUCAUCCCACGUUAUCCUUUCCUAUUUUUAGAUGAUAAAAGCAAGAUGAUUCGAGACAAUUGCUUAUGGUGCAAACAAUACUAAUACAUGAAAGGAUCUUACUAUAUGUACAUCAAGAUUUAUAUAAUGAAUUACAUAAUACAACAUGACACUACUAUUUGCCAGUUUAAAAUACAAUCAAAUUUUUCAUCAAAUCUUUUUCUUCCACAUCAUAUUAUGUAAUUCAUUAUGUACAUUUAUUAUAUACAAGUAGCAAAAUCCUACAUUUGAAUAUCGGUUUCUUUUAAAAGUUAAUUUAUUUUUAAUUUUAAGUGCAAAAGUUUUCUAUAAGUUAAGUUUAUAAAUGAAGUCGUGAUGUUCAUUAUAUUAAAGAAAAAUAUAAUCGCUCCGCAUUUAUGAUUUUAAGAGAAAAUGAAAUGAUAAUACUUCCAAAUCUAUAUAUUUAGAUUUGGGGUUGUUACAAUGAACUUAAGAAAUUGCCGUGAUUCAUUAAGAACAAUCUUCAUAAACUCAUAAAUAAAGUAAUUUAUUGACGCCGAAGGUAACACCUAAAGAAUAAUGAGCAAGGAACGAGAUGAAGGAAAUCGUAAUGGCGAAAACACAAGAUGAUUGGAACACACGAAAUUGUAAUGAAACCGUCAUAUUUGAGACCAAGAUGAUUGGGAAACAUAAAGAAUUGAUUGCAUAUUAAUCAAUAUAAACAUGAAAUUGAGAAAUUCUAUCAAAGACUAAAAGUCAGAAGCCAGAGGAAGACUUCAUAUAAUGCAUGUUUGGUAUACGGUACUCGACAAUGUAAUGAAUAAAAUUUUAGCUUCUUUUUGUUCCAUAAUAUUAUCUCCUCCUUAUAAAACAUGACAUAACAUAUACUAUAACUGUAGUAAGCUGGGAAGAAGACCCAUUUAAUGAGCAGGAAGACCUCCUUGUUCAACGAUCUUGCAAGCUGUUGUCAACGCACUCAUUUUAGUAGCUUGGCCUUGCUUGGAGCUGCUCCCUCACAACCUCAAAUGCCAAAUGAUCAAAGGUCCAAUCACUUAAGCUAGAAACUGAAAUUCUUGAAUUAGUUCCUUGCUUGUACUUUGUAACAGCUAAAAACCAUUCCCACAAAUAAUUUCAAGUUUCUAAUUCUGACUUAAACUAGAAAAAAAUAACGACAUUACAUGCAUAGAAGUUGAGCUUAUUUUCAACAUCAUUGUGAUCCUGGAACUGUCAGUUCAAUUUAUAGUUAAAGCUAGAGAACAAAGUUUUUUUAUAUACAAGAAAAGCCACAGAAUUUUAAUUGCUGAAAGAUAUGGCCAAAAGACGUUAAAAAAUAUCGGAAAAAAUGUACGAAUUUUCACUGUCCAGUGGUAAGCAGAGUACUGUAGCGUAAUGCCAGCCACAGCACCGGCAAUAAACCUCUCAAAAUUCGUGGUUUCUUCAUUCCCAGAUAAUUUGAGAAGCUUCUUUCUUUAUGUAUCAUAAGAGCAAAAAUUGAUUGCCUUAAAAGGUGCUGUGCGUAGAAUGUUAACAAAGUUUACCUUCCAAAAACCUUUCAGGCCUUGAGGUACUUUUAUUUUCUUGAUGAGCUCAAGUAUAUUCCUCUUUCCAUCACAGACUAUAUAUUCCAGCUUUAGUCUAUCAACUGGUGCAAUGCAAGUUCCGAUUAAAGAAAAUUACACAUAGAUGAAGUACUUGAAAAAAUAAGUAAAAAUAAAUAAAAAACUGAAGGUUCAUCAUUCCAAUUGCUGAAUUAGCUUCUCGGUGGCCAACUAAAAGCCAGACCCAAAUUCGUAAUGCUAAACUAAAAUUCCAAUGACGUGAUAAGAUGCAAUAGAUGCAAAAUAGGAAAGAACAGAACAUAUAUUUUUUUCAAGUAAGAAUUUGGAAACUGUAGUUCGAAUGAUGUGAUAAGCUGCAACAGAUGCAUAAUAGAAAAGAAGAGAACCUAUAUCGUUUCAUGUAAUUUUUAAUUAAUAAGAUUAAAAUUGCUAUGCGAGAAAUGUGUAAUGCCAAGAAAGAUUUAAAGGAUGGGUUAAGAUUCAAUUCUACAAUUAAGUUCAAGACAAGAAUAUAUUUGGAAAGAAAUUAGAUGUUUUCAAAUUAAACCCCUGUUUGAAAACCAUUAUUUGGGAAAAACAUUGUUUUGAAUAAUGAUUUUAGGAAAAUCCGUAGUUAAAAAGUAUGAAAAAGUUUUGGAUUUACAUGUGGUUGAAAAUAAGUACCUAGAAAAAAGAGUUUUCAAAUAAUGAUUGUCAAAUAGGGGCUAAGUAGUUAAGGAAAUCUUUUUUACAUUUCACAUCAUAGAAGUAAACAGAAAGAGGCUACUAGAAAACAGAUAAGAACACUAGAAAUCUAGAUGCAGAUUAUCUAUUUUAUUUAAGCCAAUAAAGAACACCUCCUGUAAAGGUCACAAGUUCGUCCUACAAGAAACCUAAUCAUAGCAUCAACCCAAAACAAGAGGAUGUUUAAGUAGUCAGCAAGACAGUGAAACCAACAGAGAGCAAACAAAUGAGAUCCCUUGGAAUUGGAGUAUCGAUCAUCGCCAAUGUUUAUAAAUGCAUCUUAUUGUAAUUCUGAUAACUUCAAACAACAAUUCAGUUUUUCUAUUAAUGAUUCUGAUAAAUUCAAACAUGCUUCUAAAGUAAUCAAAGCAAUAAUUUUCAAAUUUAUCUCAUCAGGAUGUUGAUUCAGUAAAAAAAAAGGUUACAACAGCAAGCAAAAAGAACCAUAUGAUUACAAACAUAUUCGACCAAACGAGACAAGAAAUUCUACUACAAGAUGUUGGGAACCCAACUGUAACAUUACAAAUGUAUAAAUUGUCAGAUGUCAUGAACUUGUUUAUGUGCAAGUAAAAUCUUUAAUAACCCAUAUAGUCAAAGGCAAGAUUUAGAUGAUAUACGUGUGACCCACUCUAACAACUUAAGAGCUCUCUAGCAAAUUAAGCUUUUAGGUUCAAUAUGGUAUUAGAGCAGGCACAGAUUCAAGUCACGCUGCCACCCACACAAUGAAACUGUGCAGCUUUGAUGGGAAAAAUAUGUAACCCGCUUACAUGUGAGGGGGCAUGUUGAAGGCAAAAUUUGAAUGAUACGUGGCACACUCUAACGCUUAAACUUUUAGAUCAAGUGGUUUAAGAUAUCUCCAUUGUUGAAUGUGGACAUAGGAGUUGCCUUCAAGGAACUAGCACACCCUACUCAUUAAAGAAUGGAAAAGGUUCCCAAAAAUUCAGAGUCAUCCUGUAAAAUUCAGAUUCUCACAGUUUUUCUCCAUUGGCCUCUUGAAUCUUCAUAGAUGAUAUCCUCUCUUAACUAAUUUCUUGGCUUUCAAUUAAAAUCUAAACUUUAGUUCGUACUGGUUUUAACAUCAAGUUCCAAAUGCGAGGAAAGAAAUAACUACGCGAUACAUUUAGAUUUUCAGUAUCUGAGUCCAACCAAUGGAGGAUAUUAGGUAAAAGUAAAUACAUGGGUUCGAAACCAAGUGAUGAUAAUCCUAUUCAAAAUCUGCAAAAAGCAGGAUUUCAGUGACGUAAAAGAUCCACAAACUAUCUUCUGUUUGAAAGCUUAAAUAUCACUGUCAAAUCCCUCCAUUUGAAAUAGCCCUGCAUCUAUGCAGAUGGGCAAGUUUAUCUAAGUAAAAUGCAUCUUCUCUUCUAUAAGGAUUAGCUCGACAACUCACUCUUUCUGCAAUGACACAACUGGCUUCCGAAGUAAUUAUAUCUUAAAAUGCAAGCCACUUUUUAAAGUAAUUAUAUCUUAAAGUAACAUUUAAAAUGCGUGAUAGGAUGAUUUAUUCUUCUUUAAGCUUUAUUUCAGUUGUUCAACAUGAUAAUAACAAGGGUUGCUACUACUAGAAUUGUACAGAAUUCAUUAUGCAUUUUGAGGAAGAAAAUAAAACUAAUUAAAAGCUACAUCGCAUUAAUAUUCAAGUUGUUACACCCCUAUCUGAACCAUUUCGGAAAGUUUACUACCACGUCAUACGAGGUGUUCAACACCCAUCCGAAGUGGUUUCGAAGUGACGUCGCCACCAAUGUUGUCGACCUGCUAACGCACUGCGAGGCACAGACAAUCUACUGAACCGACUGAAGCGCCCUAGCCCCUGAAACCGAGGCGCAGUGCAUCCCCAGGUUCUCUAUCAGAGGAUCCGCCGCUAAUUUUAGAAAGAUAUCUAUGUCAAGAUUCUUUCUGACCGCAAGGUUUAAUUGAUUUGACGUCUCCAUGAGCCUAGUUGAUGUGACGUCUCAACUUUAUGUCAACUCAACUCGGGAGAAAUAAUUACCCGCCCACUCUCUAGACGCGGCUGAUUGACGCCUAUGAGCAAACGCCUCACAUCGUCAGAUACAUAUACUUGUCCCACAUCUAACGGUUCUCCUCACCUAUAAAUACUCAAAGUUUGACAAGAGGCAAAGGUAAUGAAACUCUUACAACAUAGCUUUCUAUAACAAGCAAAUAUAUAUUCUCCUCCCCACUAUUUUGCACAACCUUGAUAUUGUUCCGAUCACCUGAGGCUAACUUGAUCAUCGGAGUGUAUGCGGAUGCCACCACCUCUGCUGGUUCCGGCCGUAUGCAUCUGAUCGUGCGUUGACUGUGCGCAGGGAAGAAUAAGUGGAGUGCCUAUCGGUUGGCCACGUGGAGGGUCCAAUUUGCGAGGUCAACACAAGUUAUUAUAGAUCUCAAGAGAAUAGAUUACACCAUUCAGCAAAAUAAGAUGUAACCAAACAAUAAAUAAGCAAAGUUAAACUUAAACACUCAAACCAAUACUUAACCAAAUGAAAAAUAAAAGAAAAACUGCAAUAAAAUGGGCAGACCUUGAAACCAUUGCAGCAUCAGCUCCAGCCCACAAAUGUUUGGUGGUGUUCACUGCCCCGCGGCCACGUAAGCUAACAUUUGACCUUUUUCCUGCAUUCACAGCUGUACUUCCUCCGCCAACAACCGCUCGGGUCGCCUCUCUACUUUUCUUAUCUCUAUUCUACACCAAGCUCUCACUUGAAAUCCUA